This 220-nucleotide long non-coding RNA is filed under the name Lathyrus oleraceus (garden pea). Its description in RNAcentral is "Pisum sativum (pea) long non-coding RNA (PSAT_LNC038707)". Lineage: Eukaryota; Viridiplantae; Streptophyta; Magnoliopsida; Fabales; Fabaceae. The record is from RNAcentral.
AAGAUCGACGUGUUAAGUAUUCACCGGCGAGAAUCUAAUGACUUUGACAUUGUUUGGCUCAAUCUGACCUCUACUUUAAUUCUAAGUUAACAUUAAUUUUAUUGUAUGAUGUGGAAUACUCUUUGCGCUACUUUUUAAUUUAUUUUUCUUAUAAAAUAAUUCACUUUUCUAAAUUAAUUUGGAUUUCGAGCACCUCAAUACUUCUCUUGUUGACUUCUUC